Long non-coding RNA from Mugil cephalus (flathead mullet), 388 nucleotides. RefSeq lists it as uncharacterized. Lineage: Eukaryota; Metazoa; Chordata; Actinopteri; Mugiliformes; Mugilidae. The transcript has 3 exons. The record is from RefSeq and is a predicted model, not a curated record.
GCUGAACAUGCACGCGAAGGACAGGUAGGAGCAGGGCCUGAUUGCUAGUUGCUACUUUUGAACAGGGUUUUGAAACGGCGAUGCUACUAGAGGGUGAAGUGAGGAGAGAGAGUGGGGAACGAGGUGGAGUGGCGAGAGGGAGACAGAGAAGUGACACAAAUCAAUGUGAGCACCCAAAGCACCAUCACCAGCAGCGGCAGAGUCCCCCGACCUCCAUCACCCCUCUGCCUUCCCUGGGAGAGACCAGCAGACACAGAGUCACAGGAAUGACAGACUCCUCAACAAUGCAUCAUCCGGAGUGAGGAGCUUCAGUGGACGGAUCAGCUGAUUACUUCUCGACAUCUCUUCUCUCUUCGGAAAAAUUCAUCGCUUAUCCGGUACGAACUUC